UACAGAUUCAGGGGUCAGAAUAUUCAAACUCGGGGAGACUUAGCAUGGGAGGAGGUCUGGAUUUGGGGGGUGAACAUGUUCAGGGUUUGGGGAUGCACAUGCAAAGGCUUAGGAGGUGAGUUAUGCACAUUCCAGGUCUGAGAAAGUAGGCAUAAAGGCUUGGGAAGUGAGGGUAUCCAGGUUUAGAGAAUAAGGGCGCGUGGGUUUAGGGCGAGGGUGUACAGGAUUAACAGGCAGUUACAUGGAUUCCAGGGCACAUAUAUGGACCCCUGAGUGUGUCUGGGCUCUGGGGGUCUGCAGCCCAGAAUGUGUGAGGGCUUAAAUGUGGGGUGCACAGGAAAUGAGAUUGUCCAGGCCUGGGGAGAAAGACAUGGUGGUCCAGGUGUGGGGGGUGUAGGCUGCUGAGAGAGGGUGGAGCGUGGCAGCCAGGGAAAUGAGUGUGAGCUCUUCUAGAACUAGAGGAUGCCCAGGCCUUUGUGAGGGUAUGCUGGUUCAAAAGAUGGAAGAAGGGGGCCUGGAAGAGAUUGUGCAGGCCUGGGGACCGGCUCUCAGUCUUAGAUCAGCCCUGGCCUCCAGCUCACCUUCCCUUCUCCCAUCACCUCUCCCUAGCACCCCGUCAGGAUGCCUCUGGGCAGAGUCUAGAAAGCUUCAAGCGUUCGGGUGAAGGGAAGUCGGAUACUGCAGGUGAGCUGGAUUUCAGUGGCCUGUUGAAGAAGAGGUGAGCCCCGGACCUGGGACAGAGAGGGGAAG
Sapajus apella (tufted capuchin) is the source of this 750-nucleotide long non-coding RNA. RefSeq lists it as uncharacterized. NCBI's taxonomy places the organism in Eukaryota, Metazoa, Chordata, Mammalia, Primates, Cebidae. The transcript has 2 exons. The record is from RefSeq and is a predicted model, not a curated record.